GAGCGAGAAAGGGUAGCAAUACCUGAGUAAAGCGGCGCACGGGUGAGUAACACGUGACUAACCUACCCUGGAGUGGGGAAUAACUGAGGGAAACCUUAGCUAAUACCGCAUAAUACCCACGGGUCAAAGGAGCAAUUCGCUCUGGGAGGGGGUCGCGGCCGAUUAGUUAGUUGGCGGGGUAAUGGCCCACCAAGACGAUGAUCGGUAUCCGGCCUGAGAGGGCGCACGGACACACUGGAACUGAAACACGGUCCAGACUCCUACGGGAGGCAGCAGUGGGGAAUUUUGCGCAAUGGGGGAAACCCUGACGCAGCAACGCCGCGUGGAGGAUGAAGUCCUUCGGGACGUAAACUCCUUUCGAUCGGGACGAUUAUGACGGUACCGGAAGAAGAAGCCCCGGCUAACUUCGUGCCAGCAGCCGCGGUAAUACGAGGGGGGCGAGCGUUGUUCGGAAUUAUUGGGCGUAAAGGGUGCGUAGGCGGUUUGGUAAGUCUUGUGUGAAAUCUACAGGCUCAACUUGUAGUCUGCACGAGAAACUGCCGGGCUUGAGUGUGGGAGAGGUGAGUGGAAUUUCCGGUGUAGCGGUGAAAUGCGUAGAUAUCGGAAGGAACACCUGUGGCGAAAGCGGCUCACUGGACCAUAACUGACGCUGAUGCACGAAAGCUAGGGGA
Molecule: ribosomal RNA, 671 nt
Filed under: uncultured bacterium
Lineage: Bacteria
Description: bacterial SSU rRNA
Rfam family: Bacterial small subunit ribosomal RNA
Source: RNAcentral